AUUUAUAUAGUAUAUAAAGUAUAUAUGACUUCCAAUCAUAAGGUUUAAUUUUUAAUAUAAAUA
RNAcentral lists this transfer RNA (63 nucleotides) under Paradoxopsyllus custodis. RNAcentral describes it as "tRNA-Gly". The record is from RNAcentral. RNAcentral also lists the same sequence under 1 other name. Lineage: Eukaryota; Metazoa; Arthropoda; Insecta; Siphonaptera; Leptopsyllidae.